GAGGAAAAGAAACCAACAGGGAUUGCCUCAGUAACGGCGAGUGAAGCGGCAAAAGCUCAAAUUUGAAAUCCCCCGGGAAUUGUAAUUUGAAGAGAUUUGGGUCCGGCCGGCAGGGGUUAAGUCCACUGGAAAGUGGCGCCACAGAGGGUGACAGCCCCGUGAACCCCUUUAACGCCUUCAUCCCAGAUCUCCAAGAGUCGAGUUGUUUGGGAAUGCAGCUCUAAGUGGGUGGUAAAUUCCAUCUAAAGCUAAAUACCGGCGAGAGACCGAUAGCGAACAAGUACAGUGAUGGAAAGAUGAAAAGCACUUUGAAAAGAGAGUGAAAAAGUACGUGAAAUUGUUGAAAGGGAAGGGCUUGCAAGCAGACACUUAACUGGGCCAGCAUCGGGGCGGCGGGGAGCAAAACCACUGGGGAAUGUACCUUUCGAGGAUUAUAACCCCGGUCCUUACUCCCUCACCACCCCGAGGCCUGCAAUCUAAGGAUGCUGGCGUAAUGGUUGCAAGUCGCCCGUC
This 513-nucleotide ribosomal RNA is filed under the name Metschnikowia sp. 11-1088. RNAcentral's name for it is "eukaryotic LSU rRNA". It matches the Rfam family "Eukaryotic large subunit ribosomal RNA", at positions 53 to 653 of the family's 3401-position model. The record is from RNAcentral. Lineage: Eukaryota; Fungi; Ascomycota; Pichiomycetes; Serinales; Metschnikowiaceae.